AUAUAAGAAUGAUGCAACAGUUAUUUGUUAUUUCCCACCUCAACAAGCUAUUCUUGGGCAGUUGGCAGCUCCGCAAAGAUAAUUCACCUUUGUAAAUUAUGCUUCUUCUUUUUUUAAUUUAAUUUCAAAUUUCAAUUUAAACAAAAUUAGCAAGAGACAACACACACAAGGAAUAUGAUUAUAUAUGAUAUAAUAAUAAAUAAUUACUCAAAUAAAAACAAAAGGGGAAAAAUAAAAAUUGCUACAACAACCGCAAUCACAACAACAAAGAGAAGGAAGAGAGUGAAAAAUCAGAGAGACGGAAAGAUCGUCUUCUGAAUCGGAACAACAACAACAACGAGCUGUUCAGGUUUGAAUUUUUCAGCAAUAUAGUAGCAAUUAUGAGAUUCAAGAAAGGAACUAAGGUGGAAGUGUUGAGCAAAGCUGAGGUGCCUUCUGGCUCCUGGCUCUGUGCUGAGAUCAUAUGUGGGAAUGGCCACAGUUACACUGUUAGGUACGAUGGAUAUCACGGUGCUGCUAGUGGCGCGAUUGUGGAGCGAGUAUCUAGGAAGGCGAUAAGGCCAUGUCCGCCUGAGCUUGAACUAGCAGAGAAUUGGAAUCCAGGUGAUGUUGUUGAGGUCUUCCGGAACUAUUCCUGGAAGAUGGCUACAGUUUUGAAGGAUUGGGGGAACAAGUAUGUUUCGGUCAGGCUUCUUGGAUCUUCUAUGGAAUUUCUAGUGAACAAAUUUGAAAUCCGGGUGAGACAAUCUUGGCAAGAUGACAAGUGGAUUUUGGUUGGAAAGGGUUCUGCCAGCUGCAGGAAAGGAAAACGUGAUAAUACACUCAUUCCAAGACAGAGUUUAAUUUCUAGUUCCCAAAUUCAGAAGACAAAUACAAAGACAAAAUUGUCAGCUUCAAAUGAUUAUCACUCUGAAAAGAAAGAUAUGGGCUUUUUCGACUCCCGCCUUGUUUCUUUCAAAACAUUGAAACGAAGGAGCCAUUCACAAGUUGAGGCAUACGCUGAGCCUCCCCCGAAGUUUAGAGCAAUUGAGAAUGAAGACAGAUGUCACAGAGUAAGGGUUAGAAAUCCAUCCACACCUCUCAAAAAGGUACAUGGUGUUGGCAUUCCAAGAGAUGUGAUCAUUGAAGAAUGUUUACCUGCUUUUGUAAACAAAAAAAUUGGGAUGUAUGAUAUGGACAUUGAGCGGAGGAAACUAACUGGAGCUGUUGGUUGUUCAUUUGGAGAAAACAUUGAAUCAAAUGAUGCUGAUAGCAUUACAUGCUCUGUUGGUAGUUGUAGUAUCACAAGCAGGAAUUCCUAUAAAUUGCAGUUUCCUGUACCUGCAGGCCCUUUUGAAGAUGUGGAUAGUCCAUUUAGUGAUGCUGAAUCUGUUUGCCAGAGGGAAUAUGACGAAGGAAAUCGUUCACCUCCUACACAAGAAGAAUUGGCAGCAGAAAUCCAUAGGUUAGAAUUGGAUGCGUAUCGUUGUACAAUAGAGGCGUUACAUGCAUCGGGACCCUUAAGUUGGGAACAAGAAGCAUUGAUGACAAAUCUCCGUCUUUCGCUCCACAUAUCAAAUGAUGAACAUUUAGUGGAGCUAAAAAAUUUGAUUUCUUCCGAAAACAGUCUUCCUUUCAGAUGACACAAACUUUCUAAUCCAACUUUAUACUUCUUUUUCAGUGAGUUUCAUGACAGUUUGUUCUUAGCCUCAUUCAACUGUAACAAGCAAGAUGAAGGCUGAGUAGGAGGCAUAUACAUGAUGCUUCCAGAUUCUCCAGAUGAUAUUGUUGCUUGCCACCUUUCUCUUGCUCUGCAGCUCUGGACAGGGCUGGCUUUUCUAAUGUGGAUGAGACAACACUUCCAUAGACUUGUGGAGUUUUGCACUCUUCCAAUUCAGGUCACCUGUGAGCCUCAUAUAUCUGUAUUUGCAGAAAGGUUCAUGCUGAGAGUCCUGCGGCUAUCAUGGAUUCACGUGAUAUGCGAAUAUUUCAUUGGUUUCCUUAAACUUUAAUUUCUGCAUAUCCAAUUAUGAUAUCUGUUACAUGUUGAUGCAUGUCUCGCUAUCAUGUGUUGCAAAUUAAAUGAUCACUGCUGUGUCCUACGCACAUACACACACAACUUGUUACAUGCUGAGUCCUAGUUAAUGGUUGAAAGGUUAUGUCUUAUCAGUGAACAACCUUGGGGUGGUAGUUUAGUUCUGGAGUAGGAAAACCCUGCAAGAGAAAUAAUUAGUGGAUAUUACCAGUAGUCACAUAUAUCAACUGAAAGUAACAUAGUCAAGUUGUCUGCAGAAUUAAAGUAGCAGUUUUUCUGGAGAAACCUUAAAACUAGAAGGUACUUGUAGCAACUGCAGUAGAAAUUGAAAGCUGAAAAGGUUUUAGCUACUCCUAAGUCAUAAACUUGGCAAGUUUUCAGUUUCUUUCAAAUUAUUAUUUGCAAUUUCCUCAUCUUAUUAUUGUGAUAUCAAUUGAUCAAAUUGAUUGCCACCUGAUUUCAUCUGGUACCUGCCAUGGUUACUUUAAUGAAAGCUAUUUCCAAACUUGUACUACUCCUAGAGUAACAUGAACAUGUUUUUCUUUUUGUGGCUAUAAGCUUACACAUGGUGGCUUGUCAUUGGUUUCUGUUCAGUGCAUCCCUGUUCAGCUAUGAUCCAAUAGCAUAUGGUCCAAGUGGCUCUUGGAUGAAUAUUGCCACGUUAAAGCAAUGAAUCAAGGUAUGAUUCUGCAUGAAUAUUCACCUUGGGGGUUAUGUGUGCAAGUUGGAGUUUUGAAGGGAAAUAGGAAUGCUUUGAACAAUAAAAAGGGCACUUCACUUAACAAUAAAAGCCCUUCUCCCCCUCCUUUCCCCUGGAAAAUUCUGACUUGCAAACAUCCCCUUAGUGACCUAGGUGGUAUAUAUGUUUUAAGUAUAUGCUCGAUUCUGAAUACUUACUUAUACAUAUAUAACUCAGAUCUUAUACUCUAUUUUAUGAACAAUUAACUUCAAGUGUACUAGCUUCUGUAGUUUACAAAGUUUUCUAUUUUGCAUC
This is an RNA transcript of Arachis ipaensis, 3008 nucleotides long. It is a transcript of the gene named Plant Tudor-like RNA-binding protein, with no coding region annotated. The record is from RefSeq and is a predicted model, not a curated record. Lineage: Eukaryota; Viridiplantae; Streptophyta; Magnoliopsida; Fabales; Fabaceae.